This 392-nucleotide ribosomal RNA is filed under the name uncultured Albidovulum sp. RNAcentral's name for it is "partial 16S ribosomal RNA". It matches the Rfam family "Bacterial small subunit ribosomal RNA", at positions 29 to 448 of the family's 1533-position model. The record is from RNAcentral. Lineage: Bacteria; Pseudomonadati; Pseudomonadota; Alphaproteobacteria; Rhodobacterales; Paracoccaceae.
AACGAACGCUGGCGGCAGGCCUAACACAUGCAAGUCGAGCGAACCCUUCGGGGUUAGCGGCGGACGGGUUAGUAACGCGUGGGAAUAUGCCCAAAGGUACGGAAUAGCCUCGGGAAACUGAGAGUAAUACCGUAUGUGCCCUUCGGGGGAAAGAUUUAUCGCCUUUGGAUUAGCCCGCGUUGGAUUAGGUAGUUGGUGGGGUAAUGGCCUACCAAGCCGACGAUCCAUAGCUGGUUUGAGAGGAUGAUCAGCAACACUGGGACUGAGACACGGCCCAGACUCCUACGGGAGGCAGCAGUGGGGAAUCUUAGACAAUGGGGGAAACCCUGAUCUAGCCAUGCCGCGUGGACGAUGAAGGCCUUAGGGUUGUAAAGUCCUUUCAGCUGGGAAGA